AUUGAACGCUGGCGGCAGGCCUAACACAUGCAAGUCGAGCGGUAACAUGUCUAGCUUGCUAGAUGAUGACGAGCGGCGGACGGGAGAGUAAUGCUUGGGGAUCUGCCUUAGAGUGGAGGAUAACCAUUGGAAACGAUGGCUAAUACUGCAUAGUAUCUGCGGAUUAAAGGGGGCUUAGGCUCUUGCUUUAAGAUGAACCCAAGUGGGAUUAGCUAGUUGGUGAGGUAAUGGCUCACCAAGGCGACGAUCCCUAGCUGGUCUGAGAGGAUGAUCAGCCACACUGGAACUGAGACACGGUCCAGACUCCUACGGGAGGCAGCAGUGGGGAAUAUUGCACAAUGGGCGAAAGCCUGAUGCAGCCAUGCCGCGUGUGUGAAGAAGGCCCUAGGGUUGUAAAGCACUUUCAGUCAGGAGGAAAGGUUAGUAGUUAAUACCUGCUAGCUGUGACGUUACUGACAGAAGAAGCACCGGCUAACUUCGUGCCAGCAGCCGCGGUAAUACGAGGGGUGCAAGCGUUAAUCGGAAUUACUGGGCGUAAAGCGAGCGUAGGCGGCUGAAUAAGCUGGAUGUGAAAAACCGGGGCUCAACCUCGGCCGUGCAUUCAGAACUGUUUAGCUAGAGUCCUGUAGAGGGGGGUAGAAUUUCA
This 646-nucleotide ribosomal RNA is filed under the name uncultured Vibrionaceae bacterium. RNAcentral describes it as "bacterial SSU rRNA". It matches the Rfam family "Bacterial small subunit ribosomal RNA", at positions 28 to 671 of the family's 1533-position model. Lineage: Bacteria; Pseudomonadati; Pseudomonadota; Gammaproteobacteria; Vibrionales; Vibrionaceae. The record is from RNAcentral.